ACUUGCACCGCCAUCGUUGGUGGUGCUUGAGACAGCUUUCAUACUGCUUGUGGCAUCAAUGCCGGCUGCAUCCGAACUAGCAACC
RNAcentral lists this transfer RNA (85 nucleotides) under Chlorobium chlorochromatii CaD3. RNAcentral describes it as "tRNA-Leu". The record is from RNAcentral. Lineage: Bacteria; Pseudomonadati; Chlorobiota; Chlorobiia; Chlorobiales; Chlorobiaceae.